CCUACGGGAGGCUACAGUGAGGAAUAUUGGUCAAUGGACGAGAGUCUGAACCAGCCAAGUAGCGUGAAGGAUGACUGCCCUAUGGGUUGUAAACUUCUUUUAUAUGGGAAUAAAACGUUCCACGUGUGGGAUUUUGUAUGUACCAUAUGAAUAAGGAUCGGCUAACUCCGUGCCAGCAGCCGCGGUAAUACGGAGGAUCCGAGCGUUAUCCGGAUUUAUUGGGUUUAAAGGGAGCGUAGGUGGAUUGUUAAGUCAGUUGUGAAAGUUUGCGGCUCAACCGUAAAAUUGCAGUUGAAACUGGCAGUCUUGAGUACAGUAGAGGUGGGCGGAAUUCGUGGUGUAGCGGUGAAAUGCUUAGAUAUCACGAAGAACUCCGAUUGCGAAGGCAGUUCACUGGACUGCAACUGACACUGAGGCUCGAAAGUGUGGGUAUCAAACAGGAUUAGAUACCCCUGUAGUC
This 460-nucleotide ribosomal RNA is filed under the name uncultured bacterium. RNAcentral describes it as "partial 16S ribosomal RNA". It matches the Rfam family "Bacterial small subunit ribosomal RNA", at positions 338 to 795 of the family's 1533-position model. The record is from RNAcentral.